RNAcentral lists this ribosomal RNA (484 nucleotides) under uncultured bacterium. RNAcentral describes it as "partial 16S ribosomal RNA". It matches the Rfam family "Bacterial small subunit ribosomal RNA", at positions 30 to 507 of the family's 1533-position model. The record is from RNAcentral.
AUUGAACGCUGGCGGCAGGCCUAACACAUGCAAGUCGAGCGGAUGAAUGGAGCUUGCUCCUGGAUUCAGCGGCGGACGGGUGAGUAAUGCCUAGGAAUCUGCCUGGUAGUGGGGGAUAACGUCCGUACACGGGCGCUAAUACCGCAUCCGUCCUGAUGGAGAAAGUGGUGGAUCUUCGGACCUCACGCUAUCAGAUGAGCCUAGGCCGGAUUAGCUAGUUGGUGGGGUAAAGGCCUACUAAGGCGACGAUCCGUAACUGGUCUGAGAGGAGGAUCAGUCACACUGGAACUGAGACACGGUCCAGACUCCUACGGGAGGCAGCAGUAGGGAAUAUUCGACAAUGGGCGAAAGCCUGAUCCAGCAAUGCCGCGUGUGUGAAGAAGGUCUUCGGAUUGUAAAGCACUUUAAGUAGGGAGGAAGGGAAGUAAGUUAAUACCUGGCUGUUCUGACGUUACCAACAGAGUAAGCACCGGCUAACUUCGUG